AAGACCUUGCGCUUUUGGAGCGGCCGAUGCCUGAUUAGCUUGUUGGUAAGGUAAAGGCUUACCAAGGCUUCGAUCAGUAGCUGGUCUGAGAGGACGGCCAGCCACACUGGGACUGAGACACGGCCCAGACUCCUACGGGAGGCAGCAGUGGGGAAUUUUGGACAAUGGGGGAAACCCUGAUCCAGCCAUGCCGCGUGAGUGAAGAAGGCCUUCGGGUUGUAAAGCUCUUUCAGCCGGAACGAAACGGUUACGGAUAAUACCCGUGACUACUGACGGUACCGGAAGAAGAAGCACCGGCUAACUACGUGCCAGCAGCCGCGGUAAUACGUAGGGUGCGAGCGUUAAUCGGAAUUACUGGGCGUAAAGCGUGCGCAGGUGGUUUUGUAAGCCAGAUGUGAAAGCCCCGGGCUCAACCUGGGAACU
This 423-nucleotide ribosomal RNA is filed under the name uncultured bacterium. RNAcentral describes it as "bacterial SSU rRNA". It matches the Rfam family "Bacterial small subunit ribosomal RNA", at positions 207 to 622 of the family's 1533-position model. The record is from RNAcentral.